AGUGAACGCUGGCGGUAGGCCUAACACAUGCAAGUCGAACGGCAGCACAGUAAGAGCUUGCUCUUACGGGUGGCGAGUGGCGGACGGGUGAGGAAUACAUCGGAAUCUACUUUUUCGUGGGGGAUUACGUAGGGAAACUUACGCUAAUACCGCAUACGACCUACGGGUGAAAGCAGGGGCUCUUCCGACCUUGCGCGAUUGAAUGAGCCGAUGUCGGAUUAGCUAGUUGGCGGGGUAAAGGCCCACCAAGGCGACGAUCCGUAGCUGGUCUGAGAGGAUGAUCAGCCACACUGGAACUGAGACACGGUCCAGACUCCUACGGGAGGCAGCAGUGGGGAAUAUUGGACAAUGGGCGCAAGCCUGAUCCAGCCAUACCGCGUGGGUGAAGAAGGCCUUCGGGUUGUAAAGCCCUUUUGUUGGGAAAGAAAAGCAGCAGGUUUAUACCCCGCUGUUCUGACGGUACCCUAAGAAUAAGCACCGGCUAACUUCGUG
This 492-nucleotide ribosomal RNA is filed under the name uncultured bacterium. Its description in RNAcentral is "partial 16S ribosomal RNA". It matches the Rfam family "Bacterial small subunit ribosomal RNA", at positions 29 to 507 of the family's 1533-position model. The record is from RNAcentral.